UAAAAAGAGAAAAACGAUUUUGGCUUUUCAUUUUCUAUUAUUUUUUUUUAAAAUACUCUACUGAUCGCGAACACCAACAUCACAGUUAAACACUUUAGAAAAGCUAGUGAACAGUAUCAUCUCACAUACCAGUUAAUAAACCUUGUCCACGGAAGAUCCUUUUCUCUACUGGGAACGCUUGCAAUAGCUAUCACCUCUUUGUACACACCAAUCUGAACUAUAGUGACCAGCAGAACAACCCAAAAGUGACCCAUUGCCAAAGCAGUGAAAAAUAUACCGAGCAACAAAAAGGUCCAUAUAGUACGCGUAAUAAAAUUUUGACUUGGCUUUCUAGCCAAAGAUUUAUGUUUAGUAAGCCUCGCUGGCUCGGUAGUCUUGGAAGACGCGCUGUCCUUAUUUUGGACAACCCCAACAUUUCCAUUUUCUUUAUCCGAAUUAUUUCUUUUAUUAGUUCUCUUCCGCGCCAUACUUUAAAACUUCCCUAUCUUUGGAAAAACGCUUAUAAUUUUGUGGAAAAGAUUUGAUGGGUUUGAAGAGUGAGAUGUUAGUGGGUCAAGUUCUUGUUUCUUUUUACGAAAGUUAGUAAUAAUCUGUAUAAAUCGCACUAUAUGAAAUAUAUGUCAAUAAAAUCUCACUACACUAUAGUACGUUAUGUUACUAACCAUUAUAUGUUCUAAGCUUUAGAGACUUGCCUCGUGGGUACAAUACUCUCGAAUGAGUAAAAAAUUCGCUCCUUAAUGUAAGACUUUAAAAAAAAAAGCAUAACUGCUGUUUGUUUAAAUUAUUAAAACAAUAACCAAGACAAUUGCAUUUCUAAAAGAUUUCAUUAUUAUAUUAAGUUCAAAUUUUAAAAAUCAGAGCUUAGGAAAUAUAAAAUAUCGACCAUUAAUAUUAAUGAAUUUUUAA
Non-coding RNA from Schizosaccharomyces pombe (fission yeast), 906 nucleotides. The record is from the annotation of a GenBank genome assembly. Lineage: Eukaryota; Fungi; Ascomycota; Schizosaccharomycetes; Schizosaccharomycetales; Schizosaccharomycetaceae.